Molecule: ribosomal RNA, 441 nt
Filed under: uncultured bacterium
Lineage: Bacteria
Description: bacterial SSU rRNA
Rfam family: Bacterial small subunit ribosomal RNA
Source: RNAcentral
GAUGAACGCUGGCGGUAUGCCUAACACAUGCAAGUCGUACGAGAGUUUUUAACUCUAGUGGCGGACGGGUGAGUAACACGUGAGAAUUUGCCUUUAGGAGGGGGAUAACAAUUGGAAACGAAUGCUAAUACCCCAUAUGCUUUUGAGUGAAAUGGAUUUUAUCCGCCUAGAGAGAAGCUCGCGGCUGAUUAGCUUGUUGGUAAGGUAAGAGCUUACCAAGGCGACGAUCAGUAUCUGGUUUGAGAGGACGAUCAGACACACUGGAACUGAGACACGGUCCAGACUCCUACGGGAGGCAGCAGUGGGGAAUUUUGGACAAUGGACGCAAGUCUGAUCCAGCCAUUCCGCGUGCAGGAUGAAGGCCUCGGGUUGUAAACCUCUUUUUCUAGGGAGGAAUAAAAUAGACGUGUACCUGAAGAAUAAGCAUCGGCUAACUCCGUG